AGAGUUUGAUCCUGGCUCAGAUUGAACGCUGGCGGCAGGCUUAACACAUGCAAGUCGAACGGUAACAGGAGAAAGCUUGCUUUCUUGCUGACGAGUGGCGGACGGGUGAGUAAUGCUUGGGAAUCUGGCUUAUGGAGGGGGAUAACUACGGGAAACUGUAGCUAAUACCGCGUAAUAUCUUCGGAUUAAAGGGUGGGACUUUCGGGCCACCUGCCAUAAGAUGAGCCCAAGUGGGAUUAGGUAGUUGGUGGGGUAAAGGCCUACCAAGCCGACGAUCUCUAGCUGGUCUGAGAGGAUGACCAGCCACACUGGAACUGAGACACGGUCCAGACUCCUACGGGAGGCAGCAGUGGGGAAUAUUGCACAAUGGGGGGAACCCUGAUGCAGCCAUGCCACGUGAAUGAAGAAGGCCUUCGGGUUGUAAAGUUCUUUCGGUGAUGAGGAAGGCGGUUGUUUUAAUAGAACAAUCGAUUGACGUUAGUCACAGAAGAAGCACCGGCUAACUCCGUGCCAGCAGCCGCGGUAAUACGGAGGGUGCGAGCGUUAAUCGGAAUGACUGGGCGUAAAGGGCACGCAGGCGGUGACUUAAGUGAGAUGUGAAAGCCCCGGGCUUAACCUGGGAAUUGCAUUUCAUACUGGGUCGCUAGAGUAUUUUAGGGAGGGGUAGAAUUCCACGUGUAGCGGUGAAAUGCGUAGGGAUGUGGAGGAAUACCGAAGGCGAAGGCAGCCCCUUGGGAAUAUACUGACGCUCAUGUGCGAAAGCGUGGGGAGCAAACAGGAUUAGAUACCCUGGUAGUCCACGCUGUAAACGCUGUCGAUUUGGGGAUUGGGCUUUAAGCUUGGUGCCCGUAGCU
This 854-nucleotide ribosomal RNA is filed under the name uncultured bacterium. RNAcentral describes it as "bacterial SSU rRNA". It matches the Rfam family "Bacterial small subunit ribosomal RNA", at positions 8 to 853 of the family's 1533-position model. The record is from RNAcentral.